CAACAGGCGGAGGGGCAAAGGGAGAGGGAGAAAGAAACUUUAACAGACUCCCUGUUAACUUCAGAGUCCCACAUUUGGGGCUUGAUCUCACAACCCUGAGAUUAUGACCUGAAUGGAAACCAAGAGUUGGAUGCUCAGCCAACUGUGACACCCGGGGACCCCCCCAUGGAUACUACCUUUUAGAUAAAACUUGACCUGAAACCAAACCCUGCUAGCUAUGAAGGGGACUAGAUUAUGACAAUAAAGUACAACAAAGUGUCAUAUUCCCAGCAACCAGCCAAAUGCUUAUCAUAAUAGUAGAUAUUUAACAAAAGCGUAUUGGCCAUUGGCUCUUUCUUAAAAAAUCAGUAAUUGAUUUAAGACUACAGAAGGCAAAGAAGAAGUCAUUGAUGAAUUUGCAAGGACAUAUCAUUGUUGGCAUGUUCUCUGGGAGGUUAUAUAGUAAUAUUUCAUUUUUCCCUCCUUAACAUAUCUGUCAGUGUCUUCUUAACAUUUUUUAAUGUGAUGUUUCUUAAUGAAUUUUAGGAGUUCCUUAUAUAUUCUUUUAGUAGUUAUAUUCAAUUAACCAUAUUGUUUGUCAGUAGCUUGUCUUCUCACGUGUUUGAGGCCAUCUUUGUUUUUCUUUGAUAUAUCAGUUUCCCAUUUUAAUGAAGUUAAUUUUGUCUAUCUUUCCUGUAUAGUUAGUGCUUUUUGUAUCCUGCUAAAUAAAUCUUUCCCGGUUCUGAAAAUAGUAAUUCUUGAAAUUUAACAUGCAAAAGAAUCCCCUGGAGGGACUGUUAAAAUGAAAACUGGUCUUCCCACCCCCAGAGUUGCUAAUUCUCUAGGUUACAGCAGGGCCUAAAAAUCUGCAUUUCUAACAAGGUCCAAGGUGCUGCUAUUGCUGCUGCUAAUCCAGGAAUUGCUCUAUGAGAUAUAUACCCUUAGAUUAUUAGGAUAAACUUAUAUAGUAUGAAAUGUAUUUACAUUUAGACUGUUACUCAGUUGAAUACCUAUUUACUUUUGGUGUGAGGUACAAAAUCGAAGCUGAUUUGUUCUCUUCUAAAAUUUUCUUUCUUUCUUUCUUUCUUUCUUUCUUUCUUUCUUUCUUUCUUUCUUUCUUUCUUUCUUUCUUUCUUUCUUUCUUUUUUUUAAAUUUAUCCAUGAGAGACACAGAAGGAGAGGCAGAGACACAGGUAGAGGGAGAAGCAGGCUCCCUGCAAGGAGCCUAAUGCAAAACUUGAUCCCAGGAUCCCAGGAUGAAGCUCUGAGCCAAAGGCAGUUGCUCAACCACUGAGCCAUCCAGGCAUCCCUCCAUAUAAAGUUUUCAAAAGAAAAUGGACGAUGGAAUUACCCAAGUUAUUUAUUUUAAAUCUAAUACCCAGACACUGUGCUUUUGGGUCUUAGGAUAAUUGGCAAUUUAUGCAUUACUUUUACUCUCUUCCUCCCUUUUCAAAUUAUUAAUAUUAAUUCAGGAGAGAGCAAAGUUUUAAAAGAAAUAGCACAUAAAUAGGAAUUUCUAUUUAUCUUUACAUAGAUGUGCCUUAGACUCCGAGAAAUAGGUAACAAGGUGGCACAGCUUUAUUAAAUAAACCCUUAAUUCACAAGUAAAAUAUUACCCCU
RNAcentral lists this long non-coding RNA (1599 nucleotides) under Canis lupus dingo (dingo). Its description in RNAcentral is "lncRNA (ENSCAFG00020026307.1)". Lineage: Eukaryota; Metazoa; Chordata; Mammalia; Carnivora; Canidae. The record is from RNAcentral.